This 668-nucleotide ribosomal RNA is filed under the name uncultured archaeon. RNAcentral's name for it is "bacterial SSU rRNA". It matches the Rfam family "Bacterial small subunit ribosomal RNA", at positions 394 to 1079 of the family's 1533-position model. The record is from RNAcentral.
AUGCCGCGUGAGUGAAGAAGGCUUUGGGUUGUAAAGCUCUUUUGUAGGGGAAGAUAAUGACUGUACCCUAAGAAUAAGGUCCGGCUAACUUCGUGCCAGCAGCCGCGGUAAUACGAAGGGACCUAGCGUAGUUCGGAAUUACUGGGCGUAAAGCGCGCGUAGGCCGUUGAGUUAGUUAAUUGUGAAAUCCCAAAGCUUAACUUUGGAACUGCAAUUAAAACUGCUCGACUAGAGUUUGAUAGAGGAAAGCGGAAUACAUAGUGUAGAGGUGAAAUUCGUAGAUAUUAUGUAGAACACCAGUUGCGAAGGCGGCUUUCUGGGUCAACACUGACGCUGAGGCGCGAAAGUAUGGGUAGCAAAGAGGAUUAGAUACCCUCGUAGUCCAUACCAUAAACGAUGGUUGCUAGAUGUUGGAAAUUUAUUUUCAGUAUCGCAGCUAACGCAUUAAGCAAUCCGCCUGGGGAGUACGACCGCAAGGUUAAAACUCAAAUGAAUUGACGGGGACCCGCACAAGCGGUGGAGCAUGUGGUUUAAUUCGAAGAUACGCGCAGAACCUUACCAAGCCUUGACAUGUCUGUCGCGAGUUUAGGAAACUAGACUUUUCGGUUCGGCCGGACAGAACACAGGUGCUGCAUGGCUGUCGUCAGCUCGUGUCGUGAGAUGUCGCG